CAGCUCCGACUUACACUUGAAUCCCUAUAGCACCGUUCUAGCUUGCACCAACCUCAUCACUUUCCUGAACACUCCUCGACCACUGGAUCCUCAACUCUGUCUCCUCGUCUAGCAUUAGCCUUAUUCACAAUCUCAACCAAUCAUCUCAUCUUUAAGCCUUUCUGAAAUGGUUAGAAAGGAAUAGCAAGGGUGAGCAACAAUGCUCAGCAAGUAAUAAUAAACAAUGAUAAUUCUGAAAUGAUAUAACAGAAGUUCACGAGUUCAAGAUAUAAGAGGAUUCAACCUGAGUUCAUGAGUUCAUGGUAUUGCAUAGAAUGAUUUACAAUACCUUGCAUCAUUUAAACUGAGAAAUUCAAUCUUUCCAAAGAAUUAUUGAAUUGGACUAUCACAUUUUAAUUAAAACCAAGGUUAGGCAGCUGAUCAGUUCCGCACUAACCCCGAGCAGGCCCCGCCAUGCUCUAUCACUGGAUCCAAGGCACUCAUUGGCCUAACAUGACCACGAAUCUGGUCCACAGGUUUAUAUAAAAACAAUAAUCCAAUUCUCUAAUUCAAUAACAGGUCAAUGUAUAACAACAGAACAUAACCACACCCAAUAUCAAUGAUAGAAUAAUUCCAAAUCAAACUUUGAUAAUCAACUUUUCAUAAACCAGAGUCCAUCCUUCCAUAAAUCAUGGUCCAGGAAAUCCUUAACUAUUCAGUAUCCUCCAUUAUCGGCUAAGCAACUGAAUUUAGCCUGCUAAACCAGCAUGACAAUGGCAGGUUGAAUAAUCAAGAAGAUCCCAAGUCAUUCUAGGUUCUAAUCAUCACUGAGCAACACAUGCUUCAAUGACAAUCGGAACUUCGAAUUAAUUUGUAAAACUGGAAUUAUCUGAAUUUUUUGAGGAUUAGAAAAGGAUGGAUAAAAUAUUUACACUUUCAAAUAUAAAAAGGAGAGGAACGAAUAUUUGCAACACAUUCGAAAAGAAUGGAUCAGAAUAAUUGCAAGAUAUCCAAAAGAAGGGUAUAGGAUACUUGCCUUAAAUCUGACUCCCGUCUCACAGCUCAUUCUCAUCUUUCCACUUUCGCAAUCUAUGCAUCUCAUAAUCUCUAGACCAUCUCUAGCUAUACUCUAUUCGCCACAUCGCUUCGCUUACUCGAUUCAUCCCUUAUUCGCUUUGCAAUACCAUUCCGACUUCCUGACGUCUUCGAGCGUACACGUCUCCUCCAAAUCCUUUACGAGAAUAAGAUAAUACUAUAGUCACUAAACAAUAUAUCGCAUAUACAUAUCACGUAUAUCGAUACCCACUUAUAUACCCCUUUAAACUUAUCACAUAUCACUUAACACGUAAUCAUGCUUUGACUCUACCAUAUAGUCAAGUCAUAUUCCACAUAACAUAUUACCAAUCACUUAUCAUAUGAAUCCUAUCGAAAAUCCGACAUCGUCUCGUCUAUUUAUUAGACUAUCCACCUGUUAUCCUAUCUCAAUCAACAAUCAACCAACAAGAUCCAAUCACUAUAAUCCAUAUGUCCUUAUCCAAUAUUAAUCAAAUCAUGACACUAUGUCAUAUAAGUCAUUUAUCACGUACAUAAUAUCAGGAAUAGACAUAUAUAUCACGUAAUCAUUAAUUAAUAACAAUCCAAUAACACAUAAUCACAUUCGGCACAUUUAACAACAAUUAUUCACAUUCUCGACUCCAUCAUAUUAUUAUGUCAUAUCAAACUAGACUUUAUAAGCUUUUAUCUCUCUUUCGUUUCACUUGAUUCCGACCUACAGAUCAAAAGAUAUGGUCAAAACCGUUUUCUGACUCCGCUCUCAACAUAUAAUACCUUACACCGAUAGCAGACAACACAUUACACAUUAAGUCUCCCAUCCCACUUGAUGUCAAAUCAAUUCCUGGGUUUAAAAUGAUUUUUCGUGAAUUUUCUGGAAUUUUUAAACAUUUUUCGGAAUUAAAAUCGAUAAAAGAAUCACUUUUCAGAUAAAUAAUCAAGUCCCAAUACUUAAAAUUGGACUGGAAACCAUUCAUAAACAAUUAUCGAGCCUUGAAAAUAAUUUAGAAAAAUAUUUUAAAGCUCGAAACUAUUUUUCGGAAUUUUUAAAUCAAAAAGGAUUAAUUAAAUCCAAUUAAUUAAUCAAUUAAAAUCAAUUAAUAAUUAAUUAAAACAAUUAAUCAAUUAAUAUUUAAAUUAAUUGACCAAUUAAAAUAAUUAAUUACUAAUUAAAAUUAAUUAAUAAAUCAAAUUAGAUUUAUUUUUGAAUAAAAAUAUAAUUAAAAACUAUUUUUGGAAUUAAAAUAAAUAAAUAAAAACAAUUUUUGAAAAUUAAAAUCAAAAGGUUUAAAGUGUAAAAUUUUAAAACUUUGUCGCAGGGUUUAAACUGCAACAUUUCAAAAGUUCAGGGGGCUCUUUGUCAGAAAUGAAAACUCGGUGGUGAAACUUCACCACCUCUAUAAGUUAGGGGGCUAAACUGUAAUUAUACAGUCGCCGCCCCCCUUUCCGUCGCCGGCCACCGUUGGUGGUUUAAACCAGCCCAGAAUCUCACCAUGAAGUGCAGUUUUAUAGUAAUCAACACCAGGAACUCGAAUAUAUCAACCAAUUAAGCAGUGGUUCCAUGAAUCAGCCGGAAAACCAAAUCAAAGGUUCGUCUCCGGCGAACCUUAAAAUUUUCGAUCCACUCGAAAACGACCUCCUCCACCCUCACUAAGCAUGUAAAACUACUCCCCACAACAAGCUGAUCAUUAUGGUGACCUUCAAAACUGCCCAGAUUCAACCGAAUGAAAAAUCCGGCGAAAACUCAAAAUUUCCGGCGGAAAACGCAAGAACACCAAGAACACUCAAUUUCAAAGAUUAAACUGACUUUUCGAGGUGUUAUUGAACUCAAAAAUUAACAUAUAAUAUACCAAAACGACGAGAAAAACAUGCUCUACAACAUGGAAUCAUCAAAACAAUCAAACAAACACGUUUGCAAAAAUUCACUAUUUAAAUCAUAGUAAUUCGAAUUUUAAAACCCCAAUUACUCCCUACCUGUGAAUCUCAUGUUGUUUUUGAUCAUUGAUAUGGAUUCUACUCUUCGAUAUCUUCGAUUUGACUACUCGCACGCUUGAUUCCGACUCCAAUAACGCCUUCAAAUCCACGUUUGAAUAUGAAGAACACGAAGAACACCGCUCGGUUUCUCUCGGUAUUCGUGCAGAGAAACUGGUGAAAUGAUUUUACGGGUGAAAAUCAGCUCUAGAAAGGUAUAUUUAUAUUUACAAAUAAUUGGUACCCCUUUGGAUCGUAUAUGGCAUGAAAAUACGUAUUUAAUAGCUUUAUAUUAAGAAAGUGGGGUCCAAUCGGUACUAGUUUUCAAGAUAAUCAUCAAAACGGGGCUUUUUAACUCAAUUAUUGGUCUGCGGGUCCCAUUGCAAUUAUUACAUGAUAAGGAUGAAGAAAAUAUCUCGGUUCACGUUUAUCGAGACAAAAUGGAUAAUUAUCGAAUACCGAAAAGCUCCGCCGGACCGGCUCCAGGGAAAACCGUACUCCGGAUCGAAAAAGUCAAAACACGAAAAAUGUCCGGAAUAUUGAUAUUAGGCUAAUGGUGAGUUUUCUCGAAACUUCCGGGAAGAAAAUUUGCUACCUCGUUACGAGUGGACGGUUUUACGGAAGUCAAAUAAUUAAUAAAUAAAUAUAAAUAUACACAAUUAACUCCGUAAAUCGAUUAUAAAAUCAUCUAACAUUCCAUAAAUCAAUAUAAAAAUAUCCAAAUAAACUAUAUUUUCUCCUGAGCAUAUAGAAAUUGAAAUAUCUCAAUUACGAACACAUACGAGCAUUCAGCUCAAUAAACUAGAUAAUACAAAAUUCACAAAAAUUCAUAUAUUAAUCAUAUAAUAUUAAUAAUUAAUCAUAACUAAUUAACAAACAAAUUCACCAAUACCACUUAAUCACAUAACACAUAUAUUCACAUAAUAUUCAUACAGAAUUUUCAAAACAAUAUAUAAAAAUCCAUUUUGAAAAUACAAUUAUUUAUCAAUAAUACAAUAACCCGGGGUUUAAAUAUAAACCUUUGAAAACUCAUUAAACUGGAAUAAAAUAUUAAAUCUUAUUCCUUUCUUUUUAAGAAAAUCAUUUAUAAUAUUAAGAAAAAUAUUUUUAAAAAUCCGGGUUAUUACA
RNAcentral lists this long non-coding RNA (4128 nucleotides) under Daucus carota (carrot). RNAcentral describes it as "long non-coding RNA (DCAR_LNC000456)". The record is from RNAcentral. Lineage: Eukaryota; Viridiplantae; Streptophyta; Magnoliopsida; Apiales; Apiaceae.